AGAGUUUGAUUAUGGCUCAGGAUGAACGCUGGCGGCGUGCUUAACACAUGCAAGUCGAACGAAGCAACUUCUGCUGCAAGAAGUGACUAGCGGCGGACGGGUGAGUAACGCGUGGGUAACCUGCCUCAUACAGGGGGAUAACAGUUGGAAACGACUGCUAAGACCGCAUAACCCGCUAGUGUCGCAUGACACGGACGGAAAAUAUUUAUAGGUAUGAGAUGGGCCCGCGUCUGAUUAGCUAGUUGGUAAGGUAACGGCUUACCAAGGCGGCGAUCAGUAGCCGACUUGAGAGAGUGAUCGGCCACAUUGGGACUGAGACACGGCCCAAACUCCUACGGGAGGCAGCAGUGGGGAAUAUUGGACAAUGGGGGAAACCCUGAUCCAGCCGACGCCGCGUGAGUGAAGAAGUAUUUCGGUAUGUAAAGCUCUAUCAGCAGGGAAGAUAAUGACAGUACCUGACUAAGAAGCCCCGGCUAACUACGUGCCAGCCGCGGC
RNAcentral lists this ribosomal RNA (495 nucleotides) under uncultured bacterium. RNAcentral describes it as "bacterial SSU rRNA". It matches the Rfam family "Bacterial small subunit ribosomal RNA", at positions 8 to 518 of the family's 1533-position model. The record is from RNAcentral.